CUGAGCCUACGGGGGGCAGCAGUGAGGAAUAUUGGUCAAUGGGCGGUAGCCUGAACCAGCCACGUAGCGUGAAGGAUGAAGGUUCUAUGGAUUGUAAACUUCUUUUAUAAAGGAAUAAAGUGAGGCACGUGUGCCUUUUUGUAUGUACUUUAUGAAUAAGGAUCGGCUAACUCCGUGCCAGCAGCCGCGGUAAUACGUAGGAUCCGAGCGUUAUCCGGAUUUAUUGGGUUUAAAGGGAGCGUAGAUGGGUCGUUAAGCCAGUUGUGAAAGUUUGCGGCUCAACCGUAAAAUUGCAAUUUAUACUG
RNAcentral lists this ribosomal RNA (305 nucleotides) under uncultured bacterium. RNAcentral's name for it is "bacterial SSU rRNA". It matches the Rfam family "Bacterial small subunit ribosomal RNA", at positions 332 to 635 of the family's 1533-position model. The record is from RNAcentral.